AGGACAGUAACUCUAACGGUAGAGUAGCGGUCUCCAAAACCGCGAGUUGGGGGUUCGAAUCCCUCCUGUCCUGCCA
This is a transfer RNA of 76 nucleotides. It matches the Rfam family "tRNA". From Rfam's summary of the family: Transfer RNA (tRNA) molecules are approximately 80 nucleotides in length. Their secondary structure includes four short double-helical elements and three loops (D, anti-codon, and T loops).